This 498-nucleotide ribosomal RNA is filed under the name uncultured bacterium. RNAcentral describes it as "partial 16S ribosomal RNA". It matches the Rfam family "Bacterial small subunit ribosomal RNA", at positions 28 to 523 of the family's 1533-position model. The record is from RNAcentral.
GACGAACGCUGGCGGCGUGCCUAACACAUGCAAGUCGAACGGUAACAGGUCUUCGGACGCUGACGAGUGGCGAACGGGUGAGUAAUACAUCGGAGCGUGCCCAGUCGUGGGGGAUAACUACUCGAAAGAGUAGCUAAUACCGCAUACGAUCUGAGGAUGAAAGCGGGGGACCUGCGGGCCUCGCGCGAUUGGAGCGGCCGAUGGCAGAUUAGGUAGUUGGUGGGAUAAAAGCUUACCAAGCCGACGAUCUGUAGCUGGUCUGAGAGGACGACCAGCCACACUGGGACUGAGACACGGCCCAGACUCCUACGGGAGGCAGCAGUGGGGAAUUUUGGACAAUGGGCGAAAGCCUGAUCCAGCAAUGCCGCGUGCAGGAUGAAGGCCUUCGGGUUGUAAACUGCUUUUGUACGGAACGAAAAAGCUCCUUCUAAUACAGGGGGCCCAUGACGGUACCGUAAGAAUAAGCACCGGCUAACUACGUGCCAGCAGCCGCAGUAA